This is a long non-coding RNA of Oncorhynchus tshawytscha (Chinook salmon), 426 nucleotides long. The record is from Ensembl. Lineage: Eukaryota; Metazoa; Chordata; Actinopteri; Salmoniformes; Salmonidae.
AGUAACCGAAAGGUUGCAAGUUCGAAUCACCGAGCUGACAAGGCUGUCAAAUUCUAUGAGCGUUGCCAGAUUGGAUUUAAAAGAACAAAAAAAGGAAAUGGCUUCCUGGAUACUAAGCAGCUGAUUGGUCGGCCCCCAUUGCUGAUUGGAGCUCUGACCCUGUCCUCUCGUCAGGAGAUACAGCUGUUUUCAAUUACCGACUCCUUCUGCAGCUUUAAAAGCCAGUGUUCCUUUGUUAGAGAGCUUAUUGGGAUUUGAUUGUAGCAGGGUGUUGUAUUCCCUCCAAGAAGCGUGGGUAACACAACUUUUGACUUUUGUAUGAAUUUCACUGAAAAUAGCAAUAAUUAAUCAACACACUACUGUAAAUAAAUGGACACAACCUGUCAUAAAACAGAAAUUGCUCUGUAAAUAAAUGGUGAGAAAUAC